GCCAAAUAUAGAUCAAAAGAGCAAAGAUGAUACCAAAGCUAAGAAGACAGCUGAUUCAGUCUUAGGAUGUUGCUACUGAUAGAUAAUGACCUACUUCUGCAUGCAAAAGAAUGGAAUAGCCAUCAUUGUCCCAACUGUCAAAAGCAAGUGGCAAUUGUAUUAUUGAAAAGGGAAACAAAGAAUUCCAUGUCUUCAUUGAAACAAUUUUCUGCAAACAGAAUAGAGAAGCUGUAAGCAUGAAAGUCUUAGCUCCUAGGCAAGAGAAGGAUAUGGUUGCCAUUUCUCUGUUAACUGAUGCUACUUUCCUUUUGGAGUUAUGGAGUCGUUUAAAAUAUGUGGAAAUGUAUUAUCACCCUUUUUAACAUACAUUGUAGAAUCAUCAGCAUCUUCU
This 391-nucleotide unclassified non-coding RNA is filed under the name Hevea brasiliensis (rubber tree). The record is from RNAcentral. Lineage: Eukaryota; Viridiplantae; Streptophyta; Magnoliopsida; Malpighiales; Euphorbiaceae.